GGGGGACACAGUCAAGGACAGAACUUCAAAUCACAUCCCACAAAUGGAAGAAUCAAAUGAGUAUUUUUAGUCUAGGAAAGAGGAGACAUGAAGGGUGGGAAAAGGAGGAUGGAAGUUGGUUUGAUAUAGUAGAAAGCUUCAAAUAUCUGGGCUCUAUUAUGAAAAGGGAUUAUCCUAUUGUUUCUAUUUUUAAAUGAUCAACUGAUAUAAAUAAAUGGAAGUGACAGUUCGAUUUCACCUCUGUUUCACACACUCCAAGCUUUCCAGUGAUGCUCCUGGCUGCCACUGAGGGAGGGAGUUUCUCCUUUUCAAGGGUUUAAGAUGAAUGAAAAAUUUGUAGUGAUGGUGGUUAGACUAGAUAACAUUAAUAUUAUGCCAGACUACGAUGCUUUUAUUCUGUGAAUUAAAUCAGAUAGCUUCCUUGUGCCAAAUGUAUCCUUUGGAAAAAUGGACACAGAGAAUAUAUUUACAAGUAAAGCAUAGGAAAUAAACUCAAUAGCUUAAAAAUACAAAUCUGACUUAGUAAUUUGUCCAGCUUUUUAAAUCACCUGAAAAAGUUUUAAGACCUAUAAGUGUUCCAUUAUAUGAAAAAAAUUCCCAAUUUCUGAGGGCUGCAGGUGAGGCAUAUGGAAGUUCCCAGGCUAGGGGUUGAAUCGGAGCUACAGCUAGCUGCCGGCCUAUGCCAAGCCACAGCAACACCAUAUCUGAGCCCUGUGUCUGCAACCUACACCACAGCUCAUGGCAACACUGGAUCCUUAACCCACUGAGCAAGGCCAGGGAUCAAACCCUCAUCCUCACAGACACUAUGUUGGGUUCUUAACCCACCGAGCCACAAUGGGAACUCCUUCUCCCAGUUUUUGAUAUUAAUCUUCUAGUUCUAAUCACUGUAAAGGCUACUGACUCAUAUUUCCAGAAUUCCCUCAAUCUUUUCCCAGAUUUAAGUUAAAAAGAAAGGCUAAAGCGUUCUGCUUGAACAUCUCCUCUUAAUAUACAAAAAAAUUGUAGAUUGAAAAAGAUUAGUAUAGUACUCCAACUUUCUUUCAAAAGCUGAGAUUCCAUGCUGCCACCCUUUCUGUCAAUGUCAAAGGACCCACAUGUGUCCUGAAGGAAACUUUGUGUCAGGUAGAGACCCUGGGGAUUCUUUACAUCUUCCCAUAAGACCAAGUAAAAUGCUUCAAUUAAAGCAAUUGGUAUGCAAUAAAUGUUGACUGUCAGAUACAUAGUUUUCUGAAAACCUGGCAGAAGGUUGCUUUAGAAGAACUUGUCUCCGCACUAGCUUCUUCAGUUUUGAAGGUCCCAAAAGACUUUUAUAAAGGGAAAUAAAAGAUUAUUUAAAUAAACUAAUAUAUUAAUAAUCAUGCUACUAAUGGAGCUCAUAGGAUUAGAACUGUCCUACUUAAUUUGGAUUGCUUUUAAUAGAUGUGACUUUUCUAAUUUUCUGGAGAAUGGUUCUGUAUUUAACACAUUCAUCAACUGUGAUCAUCUUCUUCCCUUCAACUUUAGAUAAAAUUGCGCUAAUUCCCAUUCCACAUUCUAUUGAAAGUCUAAUGCCAGGCUUCAGAAAAAGGUAAGGUGGGAAUGUGUGUUUGGGAUGAGGAGGGUAGCAGCUUAUGUUUAUGCUACUUCCAAAUUCAUCUACAUCCAAACUCUUACUUCUGCUAGACUAACUCAGCGUGUGGUUCAUCUCAUGGUCUCUGCAAACUGUCAAGUCCUACACCUACCACAUGAGCAAUUUGGUCCCUUUCCUUUAUUUCUGUUGAAACACAAGGAGGAAACAAAGAAACAAAAAGGAGGGUUCAGCUAUCCUUUUAUGUAAAUAGACUUCACAGAAGUUUUUGGAAUAACAGAGGGGAUUUACAGAACACACACACACACAAACAUACAUACAUACACCCCUCGCAAAACUUAACAUUAGACAUCUCUCUUCUUCUAGUGUCCCUUUCCACCGAGUAGGUCCCAGCUCCUGAAAACUUCCCUGUGUCUCUUUUCUUUGUUUUCCUUCACCCACACAUUUCUUCUUACUUCUUAAAUAGAGAUUCUAGCAAUAUCAACAUUUAAAGGAGUUCCCAUCGUGGUGCAGAGGAAAUGAAUCUGACUAGGAACCAUGAGAUUGUGGAUUCGAUCCCUGGCCUUGCCCAGAGGGCUGGGGAUCUGGCGUUGCCAUGAGCUGUGGUAUAGGUUGCAGACGCAGCUCAGAUCUGGCAUUGAUGUGGCUGUGGUGUAGGCCGGCAGCUGUAGCUCCGAUUGGACUGCUAGCCUGGGAACCUCCAUAUGCCACAGGUGCAGCCCUCAAAAAGACAAAGGACCAAAAAAAAAAAAAAAUUUUUUUUUAAAUCUUACAGUCAUGUUUGGUAUUUCCUUUUCUUACAUCCCCUAUAACUAAACUGUCCCCAAAUCUAUUUUGUUCUCAGACAGCAUUCAGAAUGAACUUCUUUUCUUUCCUGCUACCUGUUCUCUAGUCCAAAUCCAUAGAUCAUCUGCAGCUUUUCUCUGUCCUCCUGCAAUGAACUAACCUGAUCAAACACAUGAAAAUACAUUUGCUCAGGUUCCAUUCUUGCUUAAAAGUUUUUCGUCAAUUCCUAACUUCCCACCCAGAGUUUUAAAUGGCCUCUUAUACCUAGACCAGCUCUGUAUUUUUCCGAGUUAAUGUCCUAACUCAGACCUCACAACUCACACAAAGCCUUACCAUCUUGCCUUUGUUCUUGAUGUAUGGCUGUAUAUCCUUUGUUUAUUCAAAUCCUACUCAUGUUUGAAGAUUCCCUUCCCAAUCCCAUCCCUACCUUAUAUAUUUCAAGCCUAAACU
RNAcentral lists this long non-coding RNA (2803 nucleotides) under Sus scrofa (pig). RNAcentral describes it as "lncRNA (ENSSSCG00005008142.1, ENSSSCG00085039134.1)". The record is from RNAcentral. Lineage: Eukaryota; Metazoa; Chordata; Mammalia; Artiodactyla; Suidae.